RNAcentral lists this long non-coding RNA (998 nucleotides) under Homo sapiens (human). RNAcentral describes it as "HSALNT0080552". Lineage: Eukaryota; Metazoa; Chordata; Mammalia; Primates; Hominidae. The record is from RNAcentral.
GCAGUGACAGCCAUGUCCUUCCACAUUAGACUUCUUGGAAAGAAGACUUUGCUCUGCCACCCAGAAUGGAGUGUGCAGUGGCACAAUCAUGGCUCACUGCAGCCUGAAACUCUUGGGCUCAAGCGAUCCUCCCGCCUCAGCCUCCCAAGUGGCUGAGACUACAGGAACACACCACCACACCUGGCUAAAUUUUUUAAUUUUUCUAGAGACAAGGUCUCACUAUAUUGCCCAGGCUGAUCUUGAACUCCUGGCCUCAAGCAAUUCUCCUUCCUCAGCCUCCUAAAGUGUUGGGAUUACAAGUGUGAACCGCUGUACCUGGCAAAAAUGCUAUUUUAAUUGAGAUUAUAUGACAGUUGUAGAUUAUUUUGAUAAAGAACUGAUUACAUUACAAAAUCAAUUCUUCCUAUAUAAGAACGGGAUAUAGCAUUCCAUUUAUUUCGUUAUUUCAUUCCUUUCUCUUCUUUAGUAUACAUUAAAACCUGCAUAUUAGUUGUUAGUAUUCCUUGGUGUUUUAUCUCAUUACUAUAUAUUGCAUCAUAUGUGUGUAUGGAUAAAUGUGUGUAUGUAUACACAGUCACACAUGCACCUAUACCUUAAAAUAUAAUGUUAAAGUAGAACCAUUCUCUUCACUUCUCACAAAAGUUUUUUUUUUCCAUUGGGACUAGACAUUGAAUUUUGUCUGAAGACUCACUAACAAUAUAUGGAGCUGACCAUAUGGCUUUUUUCUUUUGAGUUUCUUUUGAAGAAUUAAAUACUAGAAGUUUGGAUGUUAAGCCAACUUUUAUGACUUGGCUAAAACCCAAUUGUCCAAAGUGUAUUAUUCUUUUAAUACAUUGUUGGCUUUUAUUUAUUACUAUUUUUUUCAAAUUUUAUUUUACUAUUCAAAACACCAAUGUGCACUCGUCUGUCUUCAUUCAAUUUUAUAUUACUGAAUAAUGACAUAAUGAUAAAAGGAUAAUAUAAUGAUAUAAUGAUGUUAUUCUGUCUUUGUAAAUUCC